AGUGAACGCUGGCGGUAGGCCUAACACAUGCAAGUCGAACGGCAGCACAGGAGAGCUUGCUCUCUGGGUGGCGAGUGGCGGACGGGUGAGGAAUACAUCGGAAUCUACUCUGUCGUGGGGGAUAACGUAGGGAAACUUACGCUAAUACCGCAUACGACCUACGGGUGAAAGCAGGGGAUCUUCGGACCUUGCGCGAUUGAAUGAGCCUAUGUCGGAUUAGCUCGUUGGCGGGGUAAAGGCCCACCAAGGCGACGAUCCGUAGCUGGUCUGAGAGGAUGAUCAGCCACACUGGAACUGAGACACGGUCCAGACUCCUACGGGAGGCAGCAGUGGGGAAUAUUGGACAAUGGGCGCAAGCCUGAUCCAGCCAUACCGCGUGGGUGAAGAAGGCCUUCGGGUUGUAAAGCCCUUUUGUUGGGAAAGAAAUCCAGCUGGCUAAUACCCGGUUGGGAUGACGGUACCCAAAGAAUAAGCACCGGCUAACUUCGUGCCAGCCGCCGCGGUAA
RNAcentral lists this ribosomal RNA (506 nucleotides) under uncultured bacterium. Its description in RNAcentral is "partial 16S ribosomal RNA". It matches the Rfam family "Bacterial small subunit ribosomal RNA", at positions 29 to 523 of the family's 1533-position model. The record is from RNAcentral.